This 536-nucleotide ribosomal RNA is filed under the name uncultured bacterium. RNAcentral's name for it is "bacterial SSU rRNA". It matches the Rfam family "Bacterial small subunit ribosomal RNA", at positions 259 to 792 of the family's 1533-position model. The record is from RNAcentral.
AACGGCCCACCAAACCAACGAUGGAUAGGGGUUCUGAGAGGAAGGUCCCCCACAUUGGAACUGAGACACGGUCCAAACUCCUACGGGAGGCAGCAGUGAGGAAUAUUGGUCAAUGGACGAGAGUCUGAACCAGCCAAGUAGCGUGAAGGAUGACUGCCCUAUGGGUUGUAAACUUCUUUUAUACGGGAAUAAAGUUAGCCACGUGUGGCUUUUUGUAUGUACCGUAUGAAUAAGGAUCGGCUAACUCCGUGCCAGCAGCCGCGGUAAUACGGAGGAUCCGAGCGUUAUCCGGAUUUAUUGGGUUUAAAGGGAGCGUAGGCGGGUUGUUAAGUCAGUUGUGAAAGUUUGCGGCUCAACCGUAAAAUUGCAGUUGAUACUGGCGACCUUGAGUGCAACAGAGGUAGGCGGAAUUCGUGGUGUAGCGGUGAAAUGCUUAGAUAUCACGAAGAACUCCGAUUGCGAAGGCAGCUUACUGGAUUGUAACUGACGCUGAUGCUCGAAAGUGUGGGUAUCAAACAGGAUUAGAUACCCUGGUA